RNAcentral lists this ribosomal RNA (323 nucleotides) under uncultured bacterium. RNAcentral describes it as "bacterial SSU rRNA". It matches the Rfam family "Bacterial small subunit ribosomal RNA", at positions 28 to 334 of the family's 1533-position model. The record is from RNAcentral.
GACGAACGCUGGCGGCGUGCCUAACACAUGCAAGUCGAACGGGGCUCUUUGGAUCGAGACUUCGGUCAAGUGAAUCUGAGCUUAGUGGCGGACGGGUGAGUAACGCGUGAGCAACCUGCCUUUCAGAGGGGGACAACAGUUGGAAACGACUGCUAAUACCGCAUAAUGUGUUUUGGGGGCAUCCCCGGAACACCAAAGAUUUAUCGCUGAAAGAUGGGCUCGCGUCUGAUUAGCUAGUUGGUGGGGUAACGGCCCACCAAGGCGACGAUCAGUAGCCGGUCUGAGAGGAUGAACGGCCACAUUGGGACUGAGAUACGGCCCAG